GAGAAAAUGGUCUAAAACCCCCCCAACCUAUACCCGAAAUUCCAACUACACACUCCAACUUUACGGGUGUCCUAUUACCCACCUGAACUUUAUAAUUCUCUAUUUUAUACACACCUAAGUGCUGACCUGUCAUGGAAGGUGUUCUCACCUUCUCUAGGCGCGUUAGAAGGUGAAUUUUGACGAAAAUUUUCGAGAAAAUAGUCAUCUUCCCCAAUUAAUCAAUGAAAGGAUUCAAUUUCAAUUGACCUCCAUUAAUGGCAUUGCUAGUGCUUUCGUUUGUUCUCCCUCUUUUGCUGCUCGACCAUCAGCCACCGCUGUCGCCGCCUCCGGCGAAAUCCAAACCCGAUUGAAUUUGAUUUUUUUUUGUUCGUCCUUAUGAUUGAAGUUUUUAUUCUUCCAAUUACUGGAUUCAAAGCUCUUUCUGCCGAGUUUUGCCAUGGUUUCGAUCAUGUAUCGAAAUAAGAAAAAAAAAAUUGAUCAGUUUGAGUUAAUUGUCAAAACACAUUGAUUUUUUUUAAUUUCAUACUUACACUUUUUUUAAACUAUCAGCAAUUGUUUCUCGAAACACAUCUCAAUUAUCAAUAGUUUAGUUUUCUAUAUUAAACUCUUAUGUGUUUUCGACCUUUCACUCAAAUUUGCAAUUUUUUGUUAAAAUUUGGGCUUUUUUCUAUAUUCAAAAUCGAGAAAAUGGUCUAAAACCCCCCCAACCUAUACCCGAAAUCCCAACUACACACUCCAACUUUACGGGUGUCCUAUUACCCACCUGAACUUUAUAAUUCUCUAUUUUAUACACACCUAAGUGCUGACCUGUCAUGGAAGGUGUUCUCACCUUUUCUAGGCGCGUUAGAAGGUGAAUUUUGACGAAAAUUUCCGAGAAAAUAGUCAUCUUCCCCAAUUAAUCAAUGAAAGGAUUCAAUCUCAAUUGACCUCCAUUAAUGGCAUUGCUGGUGCUUUCGUUUGUUCUCCCUCUUUUGCUACUCGACCAUCAGCCACCACUGUCACCGCCUCCGGCGAAAUCCAAACCACCAACAAAGCCUCGUUCUCCUCUUCCUCUCUCCUCUUAUCUCUCUCCCAUUUCGAGACAACCACCAUAAAGACCUACCUCUAUUCUCACAACAAGAUUGACAACAACAACAACAACAAAACCUUGCGGCUGCACUUUCACCACACCAACAACAACAAAACCUUGCGGCUGCACUGCUCCAACCAACGAGCUCCGGCGAAGCAAGCAAAACAGAUCGAUCCUUUUAGAUUAUUUUUCAAUGUUCUCCGACAAGCAAAACUCGAAUAUCGCUUGACAAGCUCCCGCUAUCAAUAUUCAUCUUUGUUCCUCACAAUUCCAUAGGAAUUUGAAAAAAUUGGGGGAAGAAAUUACCUUAGAAAUUUUAAGAAAUUGGGAGAGUAUAGGAAAAAGUGGAAAGGAAUUAUAAAAAAAUUGAAAAAAAAUAAUAAAUUAAUUGAAUUUUCA
This 1468-nucleotide long non-coding RNA is filed under the name Solanum tuberosum (potato). Its description in RNAcentral is "long non-coding RNA (STUB_LNC003422)". The record is from RNAcentral. Lineage: Eukaryota; Viridiplantae; Streptophyta; Magnoliopsida; Solanales; Solanaceae.